UGUUCAAGUUAGGCUUUAAAAUUGAACAUAUAAUUAUUUGAUGCCACAACCUCAACUGCUACUUAUACAUUUUCUUAAACGUUACCAUUAUAUAGUGCUGGGAAUGUAUAUUCUUAAGUUUGGACAAUCUAAAGAGCAACCAGAAUGAUACUACUUGUUGAUAUAUAUGCUAUUGUCUUUGAGCAUUGCUCUAGAUGCAUUUCUUUAUAUUCCCAUAUGGAUGUUUACAAAAUUUCUAAGGUGAGAUUUAGGAGUGUUGUUAUCCAUUGAUAUAGUCGGGUUUGGGUAAACAAAAAAAUUAAAAAGUGUCAUAUUGAAUAGUUUAUAGAUUUUUUGAGUCUUUAUAUACUAUCGUGAAAUAUGAAUAUUUAGACAAACUAGUAAGAACGAGGUAACUUCCUGAGGAUUAAGAUUUGAUUUGG
This 422-nucleotide long non-coding RNA is filed under the name Medicago truncatula (barrel medic). Its description in RNAcentral is "long non-coding RNA (MTRU_LNC003016)". The record is from RNAcentral. Lineage: Eukaryota; Viridiplantae; Streptophyta; Magnoliopsida; Fabales; Fabaceae.